GCCUUGGCGACUGCGGCAGCCGCACGCGCUGCUGGCUUCCAUCGCCGAUUGUGUUCCUCUUGCGUCCGCCUCCAUGCGCUUGCAGCUGGUGGCUGUGGUAACGGGACUGACGGCGAAGGAGAUUCGACAGAGCCGAUCGUGACGAGCACCUCAUCCUCCUUUUACUCCGCAGGAUCAGCGUCCCCUUUUCUUUUGUGUCAGACCAACAGGGUAAUUUUAGCUGGCUUCAUAAUCUGCAGGUAGGAUGACGUACGUUGUUGAUUUGUUGUACUAAUGCGUGAUCGGGCAUCUCGGGAGGAUGUAAGUGGAACAUUAGCUAGGCCAUGGACAACACAUUGCAGAGGCCAUUAAUAUGUAGCAAAGCCAUUUUAUGAGGUCGUUGUUGACAACAAUGUUAUGCUCAACUUUGAGAGCCAA
Triticum dicoccoides is the source of this 417-nucleotide long non-coding RNA. RefSeq lists it as uncharacterized. Lineage: Eukaryota; Viridiplantae; Streptophyta; Magnoliopsida; Poales; Poaceae. The transcript is spliced from 3 exons. The record is from RefSeq and is a predicted model, not a curated record.